Molecule: ribosomal RNA, 253 nt
Filed under: uncultured bacterium
Lineage: Bacteria
Description: partial 16S ribosomal RNA
Rfam family: Bacterial small subunit ribosomal RNA
Source: RNAcentral
UACGAAGGGGGCUAGCGUUUUUCGGAAUUACUGGGCGUAAAGCGCACGUAGGCGGAUUUGUUAGUCAGGGGUGAAAUCCCGGGGCUCAACCUCGGAACUGCCUUUGAUACUGCAAGUCUCGAGUCCGGAAGAGGUGGGUGGAAUUCCUAGUGUAGAGGUGAAAUUCGUAGAUAUUAGGAAGAACACCAGUGGCGAAGGCGGCCCACUGGUCCGGUACUGACGCUGAGGUGCUAAAGCGUGGGGAGCAAACAGG